Molecule: ribosomal RNA, 459 nt
Filed under: uncultured bacterium
Lineage: Bacteria
Description: bacterial SSU rRNA
Rfam family: Bacterial small subunit ribosomal RNA
Source: RNAcentral
CGGCGUGCUUAACACAUGCAAGUCGAACGAGAACGGAUUAUAGCUUGCUAUAAGUUGUCAGCUAAGUGGCGCACGGGUGAGUAAUGUAUAGAGUAACCUGCCCUCUAGAAGGAAUAACAGUUGGAAACGACUGCUAAUGCCCUAUAUGCCUUUAAUACAUAAGUAUGCAAGGGAAACGCUUUAGGUGCUAGAGGAUGGGUCUGUAUGGUAUCAGUUAGUUGGUGAGGUAAUGGCUCACCAAGACUAUGACGCCUAACUGGUUUGAGAGGAUGAUCAGUCACACUGGAACUGAGACACGGUCCAGACUCCUACGGGAGGCAGCAGUGGGGAAUAUUGCACAAUGGACGAAAGUCUGAUGCAGCAACGCCGCGUGGAGGAUGACACAUUUCGGUGCGUAAACUCCUUUUAUAUAGGAAGAUAAUGACGGUACUAUAUGAAUAAGCACCGGCUAACUCCGUG